AAAUUGAAGAGUUUGAUCAUGGCUCAGGUUGAACGCUGGCGGCAGGCCUAACACAUGCAAGUCGAACGGUAACAGGAAGCAGCUUGCUGCUUCGCUGACGAGUGGCGGACGGGUGAGUAAUGUCUGGGAAACUGCCUGAUGGAGGGGGAUAACUACUGGAAACGGUAGCUAAUACCGCAUAACGUCGCAAGACCAAAGGGGGGGACCUUCGGGCCUCUUGCCAUCGGAUGUGCCCAGAUGGGAUUAGCUUGUUGGUGGGGUAACGGCUCACCAAGGCGACGAUCCCUAGCUGGUCUGAGAGGAUGACCAGCCACACUGGAACUGAGACACGGUCCAGACUCCUACGGGAGGCAGCAGUGGGGAAUAUUGCACAAUGGGCGCAAGCCUGAUGCAGCCAUGCCGCGUGUAUGAAGAAGGCCUUCGGGUUGUAAAGUACUUUCAGCGGGGAGGAAGGGAGUAAAGUUAAUACCUUU
RNAcentral lists this ribosomal RNA (473 nucleotides) under Escherichia coli. RNAcentral's name for it is "bacterial SSU rRNA". It matches the Rfam family "Bacterial small subunit ribosomal RNA", at positions 1 to 470 of the family's 1533-position model. The record is from RNAcentral. Lineage: Bacteria; Pseudomonadati; Pseudomonadota; Gammaproteobacteria; Enterobacterales; Enterobacteriaceae.